AACUUUCAACAACGGAUCUCUUGGUUCCGACAUCGAUGAAGAACGCAGCGAAAUGCGAUAAGUAAUGUGAAUUGCAGAAUUCCGUGAAUCAUCGAAUCUUUGAACGCACAUUGCGCCCCCUGGUAUUCCGGGGGGCAUGCCUGUCCGAGCGUCAUUUC
This 158-nucleotide ribosomal RNA is filed under the name [Emmonsia] crescens. RNAcentral's name for it is "Emmonsia crescens 5.8S ribosomal RNA". It matches the Rfam family "5.8S ribosomal RNA". From Rfam's summary of the family: 5.8S ribosomal RNA (5.8S rRNA) is a component of the large subunit of the eukaryotic ribosome. It is transcribed by RNA polymerase I as part of the 45S precursor that also contains 18S and 28S rRNA. Functionally, it is thought that 5.8S rRNA may be involved in ribosome translocation. The record is from RNAcentral. Lineage: Eukaryota; Fungi; Ascomycota; Eurotiomycetes; Onygenales; Ajellomycetaceae.